This 478-nucleotide long non-coding RNA is filed under the name Calidris pugnax (ruff). RNAcentral describes it as "lncRNA (ENSCPUG00000000482.1)". Lineage: Eukaryota; Metazoa; Chordata; Aves; Charadriiformes; Scolopacidae. The record is from RNAcentral.
CUGUUAGGCAGAUAGAGUAAUCUGGGCAUUUUAAAAGGCAAAAUAACCUGCUGAAUGACCAUAGGUAUUUUUUUUCAGUUUCAGGUGGUACAGUACCAAGUGUUCUCGGUGUCACAAUAACCUUCAGAAAGGUCAUGCCACCCAAUCGACUGUAAUCACUGCACUGCUUAAGCAGCCUCAAGUGCUACCUGAUUUGAUGAUGACAAAAUGAAUCGUUCUACCAUAUGAGGUUUGAAAUGCAGAGGAAGCAUUCCAAGGAUAUGAGCGCAAGAGGCAAUGGAUACUUGCAGAUCAAAUAGAGGUUAUUGUUGGCCUACCCUACAACACAUGGACUAGGAACAAAGGCCAAGUGACAAAGCCAAGCAUCAGGAGCUCACUUGAAAUGAGAGUGGGAGGGACGACAAACAACCCACAAACCAACAAGAAUGACAACAACAAACUAUCUGAAGGAAGAAAUGCAAUAAAAAUUGGGUAAAAU